UGGCAACCCUGCAUACGCAGGCCGCUGUGGAUGAUGGGAUAUGUCACGUACUGUUGAGCUAAACAAGCUCACCACCUGUUUAACCAGCGUCAUUGUAGCAGUGUUACAUCUUCUGCCUGGAAACACCGUGAGCUAAUCACAGGCGGUGAAAACAGUCAUGGAUGCAAAUUCGAGUUCGAAUUGCUUACAUCACAUCCAAACGAAUCAGAGUAAGGAGAACCAAAGCGGUGCACCACCCCAAGGAAAUGAAGCACCAGUCACACAGGAUCUAAGCACAGAACACAGGAGGGAUUCAGUGGGAGCAGCACCUGAACUUCCACAGUGCAAAAUGGGUGGCAAGAAAGUAGAUGAUAUGAGCUUCAUGAUAUCCUGUACAAACUGGUACUAAGGGCAUGUGAUAAGUGAACACUUAACACAAUGUGAGAUUCAUCACACAAAGAAAUAUGGAUGCUAACCUGUAGCCUGAUAUGACAUUAAAUUUU
Molecule: long non-coding RNA, 482 nt
Organism: Clarias gariepinus (North African catfish)
Lineage: Eukaryota; Metazoa; Chordata; Actinopteri; Siluriformes; Clariidae
Exons: 3
Source: RefSeq, a predicted model, not a curated record